This 353-nucleotide long non-coding RNA is filed under the name Zea mays. RNAcentral's name for it is "long non-coding RNA NONZMAT004660". The record is from RNAcentral. Lineage: Eukaryota; Viridiplantae; Streptophyta; Magnoliopsida; Poales; Poaceae.
AUUCAAAUUAGAAGGAUACAUUUGAGACACAUGUCAGAACAUAGAAACUGGACAGGUAAGAGGACAAGCUGAUGUGAAUUCUUCUAGUGACGUUAACCUGAUUCAGGUUUACCCACCGAAAGGGGGAUUCACCCACAAGCAUACAAAGUUUCCAUCUGGAGGACCAAAAUAACAGUUUGCUAAAUGUCUGACAUGAAGUUCAAACCGGAACUAGAUCAACAUAUCCCGAGAUCAGAAGACUACUAACUAAACAUCUUCCACACGCUCAUCACAUGUAAAUUGCCAGAAUUGGGCCACACGCUCAAUUGACUUGGGAUGGAUUUUCAUCUUCAUCAUCAUUGACAACCCUCAAC